UACGUAGGGUGCGAGCGUUAUCCGGAUUUAUUGGGUUUAAAGGGUGCGUAGGCGGACUUAUAAGUCAGUGGUGAAAUCUCGUUGCUUAACAACGAACGUGCCAUUGAUACUGUAGGUCUUGAGUACAGAUGCCGUUGGCGGAAUGUGUCAUGUAGCGGUGAAAUGCAUAGAUAUGACACAGAACACCGAUUGCGAAGGCAGCUGACGAAACUGUAACUGACGCUGAGGCACGAAAGCGUGGGGAUCAAACAGG
Molecule: ribosomal RNA, 253 nt
Filed under: uncultured bacterium
Lineage: Bacteria
Description: partial 16S ribosomal RNA
Rfam family: Bacterial small subunit ribosomal RNA
Source: RNAcentral